RNAcentral lists this ribosomal RNA (442 nucleotides) under uncultured bacterium. RNAcentral's name for it is "partial 16S ribosomal RNA". It matches the Rfam family "Bacterial small subunit ribosomal RNA", at positions 338 to 795 of the family's 1533-position model. The record is from RNAcentral.
CCUACGGGAGGCAGCAGUGGGGAAUAUUGGGCAAUGGGCGCAAGCCUGACCCAGCAACGCCGCGUGAAGGAAGAAGGCUUUCGGGUUGUAAACUUCUUUUGUCAGGGAAGAGUAGAAGACGGUACCUGACGAAUAAGCCACGGCUAACUACGUGCCAGCAGCCGCGGUAAUACGUAGGUGGCAAGCGUUGUCCGGAUUUACUGGGUGUAAAGGGCGUGUAGCCGGGUUGACAAGUCAGAUGUGAAAUCCUGCGGCGUAACCGCAGAACUGCAUGUGAAACUGUUGAUCUUGAGUACUGGAGAGGUAGAUGGAAUUUCUAGUGUAGCGGUGAAAUGCGUAGAUAUUAGGAGGAACACCAGUGGCGAAGGCGGUCUGCUGGACAGCAACUGACGGUGAGGCGCGAAAGCGUGGGGAGCAAACAGGAUUAGAUACCCUUGUAGUC